RNAcentral lists this ribosomal RNA (500 nucleotides) under uncultured bacterium. RNAcentral's name for it is "partial 16S ribosomal RNA". It matches the Rfam family "Bacterial small subunit ribosomal RNA", at positions 30 to 523 of the family's 1533-position model. The record is from RNAcentral.
AUUGAACGCUGGCGGAAUGCUUUACACAUGCAAGUCGAACGGCAGCACGGACUUCGGUCUGGUGGCGAGUGGCGAACGGGUGAGUAAUGUAUCGGAACGUGCCCAGUCGUGGGGGAUAACGUAGUGAAAAUUACGCUAAUACCGCAUACGAUCUAUGGAUGAAAGCGGGGGAUCGCAAGACCUCGCGCGCUUGGAGCGGCCGAUAUCAGAUUAGGUAGUUGGUGGGGUAAAGGCCCACCAAGCCAACGAUCUGUAGCUGGUCUGAGAGGACGACCAGCCACACUGGAACUGAGACACGGUCCAGACUCCUACGGGAGGCAGCAGUGGGGAAUUUUGGACAAUGGGCGAAAGCCUGAUCCAGCCAUUCCGCGUGCAGGAUGAAGGCCCUCGGGUUGUAAACUGCUUUUGUACAGAACGAAAAGCUUUCUACUAAUACUAGGAGCUCAUGACGGUACUGUAAGAAUAAGCACCGGCUAACUACGUGCCAGCCGCCGCAGUAA